RNAcentral lists this ribosomal RNA (474 nucleotides) under uncultured bacterium. Its description in RNAcentral is "bacterial SSU rRNA". It matches the Rfam family "Bacterial small subunit ribosomal RNA", at positions 30 to 514 of the family's 1533-position model. The record is from RNAcentral.
AUUGAACGCUGGCGGCAGGCCUAACACAUGCAAGUCGAGCGGUAGAGAGGUGCUUGCAUCUCUUGAGAGCGGCGGACGGGUGAGUAAUGCCUAGGAAUCUGCCUAGUGGUGGGGGAUAAACGUUCGGAAACGGACGCUAAUACCGCAUACGUCCUACGGGAGAAAGCGGGGGAUCUUCGGACCUCGCGCCAUUAGAUGAGCCUAGGUCGGAUUAGCUAGUUGGUGAGGUAAUGGCUCACCAAGGCGACGAUCCGUAACUGGUCUGAGAGGAUGAUCAGUCACACUGGAACUGAGACACGGUCCAGACUCCUACGGGAGGCAGCAGUGGGGAAUAUUGGACAAUGGGCGAAAGCCUGAACCAGCCAUGCCGCGUGGAGGAUGAAGGCCCUCUGGGUUGUAAACCUCUUUCAGCAGGGACGAAGCGAAAGUGACUGUACCUGCAGAAGAAGCACCGGCUAACUAACGUGCCAGCAG